UAUUAAUAUACACAGACAACAUACGCGGAACUCAUCCCUUCCCCAAAACUCACACAUAAAGAUAAUCCACAGAUUCAAUGGUCGGCCAACCACCAUGGUGGUGGCGGCGCAUGACGGUGGCGACCGAGGAAGAGAGAGAGUGAGAGACCGAGAGAGUGAAGAGAGAGAGAGAGAGAGAGAGAGAGAGAGGGAGAACCGGCGGUCAAAGGCUCGGACCGUCGGUCGGUCCAUUUAUCCGAUGAUGGUGGUGAGCGACGGCGGACAGACGGCGGAUCCGUCGGACCGGCGACCUGAAGCGCCGGAAACGGCAGUGGUGUUGGCUAUAGUGUGGUUCGAAUUCUGGUUUCGUCGAGUUCACAUCAGUUCAUGUCGGGUCUGGGUUCAGUUCAACAAAUUCGAGUUCAGAUAACUCGGUUCAAGUUCGGGUGUUUCGGGUUCACUCCUUCAGAUUCACGUUUGGUCAGCAGAUUCGGAGACUCGGUACGGCGGUCGGCAUCUAGGUCCGGUAGCAGGCGUCUUGGACCGGUGGUCGGAUUCAAGGUCCGGCAGUCCUUGUUAUUAUCCGACAAAUUACCGGUAAAACCUCUGUCCAGUUUCUUUCACUUUUGGUUACUGUUGAAGAUUCAUGAAGAUGAUGGAUUCACUGUGUUGAAGGUUAUGUCGAAUUGUUGAUUAUUGCACAUGUUUUUGAUUCAAGUUCGGAACUUUUGAGAUUGCGGGUCAAGUCUCGGGUCCAGCCAACUCUGGUCAACGGCUCCGGUUGGGUCAAACAUCAGCCUAGGUUCGAGUCAGAAUUAUUUCAAGUGCGGGUUUUGAUCGGCUCGGGUCACGGUUAGUGGUUCGGCUCGACUCGGUUAAACCGAGUCAAGCUCAGUCAACUCAGCGAGUCGACUCAGCGAGUCGACUCAGCGAGUCGACUCAGCUGGCAAACUCAGUCCAUGUUUCGACAACUCGACGUGGAGGAUUUGGUAAAUGAAAUUUAGCAGCGCGUGUGAAUUGUGUUAUUUCAUAUAGAUUCCGUUCGAACCGAAUUACUUAACAACUAUACAUGUUUUCUUAUUUCAAUUGACGUAAUUUAUUAUUUGGUUAUUGAAUCUUGAUUGAAUUUUAAAAAUAA
This is a long non-coding RNA of Helianthus annuus (common sunflower), 1117 nucleotides long. RefSeq lists it as uncharacterized. The record is from RefSeq and is a predicted model, not a curated record. NCBI's taxonomy places the organism in Eukaryota, Viridiplantae, Streptophyta, Magnoliopsida, Asterales, Asteraceae. The transcript has 2 exons.